Small nuclear RNA from Budorcas taxicolor (takin), 103 nucleotides. The record is from RefSeq and is a predicted model, not a curated record. Lineage: Eukaryota; Metazoa; Chordata; Mammalia; Artiodactyla; Bovidae.
GUGCUCGCUUCGGCAGCACAUACACUAAAAUUGGAAUGAUACAGAGAUUAGCAUGGCCCCUGCCAAGGACGACACGCAAAUCCGUGAAGCGUCCUAUAUUUCU